This is a long non-coding RNA of Lolium rigidum, 2525 nucleotides long. RefSeq lists it as uncharacterized. The transcript has 3 exons. The record is from RefSeq and is a predicted model, not a curated record. Lineage: Eukaryota; Viridiplantae; Streptophyta; Magnoliopsida; Poales; Poaceae.
UAUCCAUGAUUAUAUUGGCAAUUUCGAUUCUAUACAAAUUCAGAAAGAUUCAACUGUCUCAUCAUUUAGUGUCAGAAUUUUCAUUGGUAUACAUUUUACAAGAGCUAUGUGUCCUGCCCUAUAACAUGUACAUUUUAUUAGAGUAUUAUAGUAGUUCCUUCCAGUUGUUGUAAUUAUUAGUGAUUUCUUUUUCGUUCAUGUCAGUUUUGAGCAACAAGGUUUGAAUUUUUUUCUUACGAAUCUUAGUUUCCUCUUCCAGUUGCAAACACUUGCUUGGCUAUCUGGUUUUCUUAGGAUAAGAAGCCUCCAGAGUAGAACUGGACUAUUUGUGAAACUUGGAUGUAACUCCUGACGAUGCACAUUUUCUUAAGGAAAUAUCUUGAAGAACAACAUGGUGAAUCAUGCGAGCAUCCCAGCUGCAUUGGGUCAUCGGUCAUGCGUACCUCAUCGAGAAGAAGGAUGACACCGUUAUCACUGGUGUUGCCUAUUUUUGUGUCUAGAUCUUAAUUUAAGAUGAUGAUUUGUUAAUACCAUACAACAGCUUCCAACAGGAGUGAGCAAUGUGGUAGGAUACUGCUAGAGAGUGCCGCUGAUCCAAAUGUCAGAAGUAUCCUUUCCAACUUUGAAUUCUGAUAAAAAAUAGUUUUAUGAUAUUCAGUUUGUGUUAAUUUCAUAUUUGGAAUUUCAGGUCACUGUUUGUAACUUUUUCUUUAAUAAUUUGAAUUCCAAGGUUGAGGGCUUCCAUCAGACUUGGCAGGGGUCCAGGGGCACACCCAAAUUGUCCAUGGUGCAACAAGCUGAAGGUCAUGACUUGGCCGUGACGGAGAACCAAACUGGGCUAACAGAUAUCAGCUUGGCCCGGCUAACAGAGAAUAUACAGCGUGAGAUCAGUUGCAGCAUAUGUCCAUGCCACAUGACAACAUGUGGUGCCUCAGGUUUCAGUCAGUGCUUUCUGAGGCAUGGGCAUCUCGUUUGGGUUUUCCAUUUAAGCGAUGACCAUUUUGACUACCUGUUGUUCUGCUGAGUUUUUGAUGCAGUGUUAAGUAUCUAGGCUUCUACUGAUUCUCAUCUAUUCAUCCAAAUUACACAGCUAAGGAUCAUACUUAGACAGUUAAGUUCAUGUGCUUGCAGGUGACAGGUACAGCUACAAAUUUAGUACCUGGUCUUUUUGCAAAGGUUGAUGUGUUUCCAGGGGAGGGCAACUUUGACAAAAAAAAUUUAAACGGUGGCAAAAGCCUUGCCCCAAUCUAUUAAUUAAGACAGAGGUCUUGAUGAUCCCUUUGUAUUCAUGAAGCAGAAUUAUCUCCUAACUCCAGGGACUGCCUAACUGCCAUAUGCUUGAGUUCAAAAAUUGACUCCAACAUACUUCGUUCUGCACCUAGGAAGCUAUUGUAGGGAGGCAGCAUUUAGCAGGGUUUAUGCUUCUCCUUCCCGGUUGAAAUCUCUUUUCUCUAGAUGUGAGUAUAAACAACACCACAGAAUUCUGAUAUUAGUCCUUUUUUAGAGUUCAGAGAUGUCUGAUGUUUUUUCAAACUAUUGGAUUGUGAUUUUCAUUCUUGAGCCUUCACUGAAUUGUUUGUUAUGUUAUGUGAAAUGCAAUUACCAGGUAUGCAUGUCACCUCCUAACCCUUAAGACUAUGUAUGAAAUUCAUGCAAGCAACUUCUAUCUUACUGAUUUAUAGGUAAAUCUGAUGAGCGGUAAUUUAAUCUUGAAGACCACUAGAUGGUCCAAGUGGAAGACUACUUCACUGCUGGCUUCACCAUGAUGGUUGGCUUGCAGUCUUUUGAGGGAAAUGGUAUUUUAUUGUAUUGCACUGAAGUUCUGUGUGGAACAAGUAUGCAAGCUGAAUUUCUUGAUGCAUGUUGGUAUGUUUUAAUUUGUAUUCUCAUGAUUUCAUUACAGUUCAUGUAAUUCAUUGCUUUGCACUAGAUUGUUUGCCAUCUACUCCUUUGUCAGCUUGGCUUUAGCGGUGCAUAUCUCAAGUGAGCAAGGCAAAACUAUAGAAGUGUGUAGUGGUUUGGAUAAGGUUUGAUGCUAUAACUCCUAGAAAAGGUCAGGUAAGGUGUCAUUAUCUUCAUAAUGUUUCUACAGUUGGGGCCAUCACUUCAGUUAUGAACUUCUAGAGAGAAUAAAUUCCUUCUAUUGUUCACCAUUUAUGUAUGUUAGAUUUGUAUAGUUAUCUUUCGACAAAAUUUACAUAGUUACUAGGCUUCGCCAAGUCGUCCUAUGUUUUCUGUAAAUAUCAGGAAGGCACUUAUGCACCCACACUCUCAUUUCAGCUCGAGCUGACUGUUGCCCUCUUCUAUUUUUUCGCCUCACAACCUAUGGGCGUGGGCGUGUAACUGGUGAUCUGAAUGAACCUGCUGUAUAGUAGAUUUUGGCUCAUGGUAGUGAGAUCCAGGCGUAUUGCCAUGGAAGUCAUACCGACAUAACUACAAAUCAAAUUAUUGCCUUUGCAUCUUACCGAUUUAACUCAGCCCUUUGCAGAUGGUAUAAGCGUUCAAUGCUUGAUUUCUAUAGAAGC